AUUGAACGCUGGCGGCAGGCCUAACGCAUGCAAGUCGAGCGGAUGAAGGGAGCUUGCUCCUGGAUUCAGCGGCGGACGGGUGAGUAAUGCCUAGGAAUCUGCCUGGUAGUGGGGGAUAACGUCCGGAAACGGGCGCUAAUACCGCAUACGUCCUGAGGGAGAAAGUGGGGGAUCUUCGGACCUCACGCUAUCAGAUGAGCCUAGGUCGGAUUAGCUAGUUGGUGGGGUAAAGGCCUACCAAGGCGACGAUCCGUAACUGGUCUGAGAGGAUGAUCAGUCACACUGGAACUGAGACACGGUCCAGACUCCUACGGGAGGCAGCAGUGGGGAAUAUUGGACAAUGGGCGAAAGCCUGAUCCAGCCAUGCCGCGUGUGUGAAGAAGGACUUCGGAUUGUAAAGCACUUUAAGUUGGGAGGAAGGGCAGUAAGUUAAUACCUUGCUGUUUUGACGUUACCAACAGAAUAAGCACCGGCUAACUUCGUG
This 484-nucleotide ribosomal RNA is filed under the name uncultured bacterium. Its description in RNAcentral is "partial 16S ribosomal RNA". It matches the Rfam family "Bacterial small subunit ribosomal RNA", at positions 30 to 507 of the family's 1533-position model. The record is from RNAcentral.